RNAcentral lists this ribosomal RNA (500 nucleotides) under uncultured bacterium. RNAcentral's name for it is "partial 16S ribosomal RNA". It matches the Rfam family "Bacterial small subunit ribosomal RNA", at positions 30 to 523 of the family's 1533-position model. The record is from RNAcentral.
AUUGAACGCUGGCGGAAUGCUUUACACAUGCAAGUCGAACGGCAGCACGGACUUCGGUCUGGUGGCGAGUGGCGAACGGGUGAGUAACAUAUCGGAACGUAUCCAAUAAUGGGGGAUAACGAGUCGAAAGAUUCGCUAAUACCGCAUACGCCCUACGGGGGAAAGCUAGGGACCUUCGGGCCUGGCGUUAAUGGAGCGGCCGAUAUCUGACUAGCUAGUUGGUGAGGUAAAGGCUCACCAAGGCGACGAUCAGUAGCUGGUCUGAGAGGACGACCAGCCACCCUGGAACUGAGACACGGUCCAGACUCCUACGGGAGGCAGCAGUGGGGAAUUUUGGACAAUGGGGGCAACCCUGAUCCAGCCAUUCCGCGUGAGUGAAGAAGGCCUUCGGGUUGUAAAGCUCUUUCGCAAGGGAAGAAAACUUAGUCUCUAACAUAGACUGAGGCUGACGGUACCUUGAUGAGAAGCACCGGCUAACUACGUGCCAGCCGCCGCUGUAA